This 19-nucleotide small nuclear RNA is filed under the name Arabidopsis thaliana (thale cress). Its description in RNAcentral is "snRNA_03583". Lineage: Eukaryota; Viridiplantae; Streptophyta; Magnoliopsida; Brassicales; Brassicaceae. The record is from RNAcentral.
UCACGGCGGAGUGUUCUCA